Molecule: ribosomal RNA, 758 nt
Filed under: uncultured Flavobacteriales bacterium
Lineage: Bacteria; Pseudomonadati; Bacteroidota; Flavobacteriia; Flavobacteriales
Description: bacterial SSU rRNA
Rfam family: Bacterial small subunit ribosomal RNA
Source: RNAcentral
GAUGAACGCUAGCGGGAGGCCUAACACAUGCAAGCCGAGCGGGAUUUGUUGGUUAGCUUGCUAACUGACGAUGAGAGCGGCGUACGGGUGCGGAACAUGUGUGCAAUCUGCCCUUAUCAAGGGGAUAGCCCAGAGAAAUCUGGAUUAAUACCCUAUAACAUAUGGGAUGGCAUCAUUUCAUAUUAAAAGCUACGGCGGAUAAGGAUGAGCACGCACAAGAUUAGCUAGUUGGUAAGGUAACGGCUUACCAAGGCGACGAUCUUUAGGGGGCCUGAGAGGGUGAUCCCCCACACUGGGACUGAGACACGGCCCAGACUCCUACGGGAGGCAGCAGUGAGGAAUAUUGGACAAUGGGUGGAAGCCUGAUCCAGCCAUCCCGCGUGCAGGACGACUGCCCUAUGGGUUGUAAACUGCUUUUAUAUAGGGAUAAACCUACUCUCGUGAGAGUAGCUGAAGGUACUAUAUGAAUAAGCACCGGCUAACUCCGUGCCAGCAGCCGCGGUAAUACGUAGGGGGCAAGCGUUAUCCGGAUUUACUGGGUGUAAAGGGAGCGCAGACGGCAAUGCAAGUCUGAAGUGAAAGGCGUGGGCUCAACCCAUGAACUGCUUUGGAAACUGUAUAGCUUGAGUGUCGGAGGGGUAAGCGGAAUUCCUAGUGUAGCGGUGAAAUGCGUAGAUAUUAGGAGGAACACCGGAGGCGAAGGCGGCUUACUGGACGACAACUGACGUUGAGGCUCGAAGGCGUGGGGAGCAAACAGG